AUCAUCCUGGUCAUAGUCCAGGGAGACUUCCAGGAGGAGGCAACAUCUGAGGAAAGAAUGAGGAAGACUGAUGAAUGCUGAGCGGGAGAGAUGGGGAAGAGUGUGCACAGUGUCUGGUCCCAGAAAGCUCAGACUUGAGCUGACAGCACUCCACAUCAAGGAAGAGCUGGGGGUCUUUCCACGCUCUGCCCCAGGGCCUUCUCCAAUUCGAAGCAAGCUGCUCAGGGGCAGCCCUCAAAUAGUGAGGAAGGCGGCCUGUGGGUAAACUCUGUGCUGAUUGACUCUUGGCAAGCAAUCCCUGGGGAAACGGGGGCCCCCUGGCUGCCAGCAGUGACCUUGAGGACACACAACAUAAAGCCAAUUUCAUCCCGCCUUUCCCCAGGACAGUAGAAUCCGAAUCUCCGAGAGGGAGGUGCCAGCAUCACGAUGUCUUCGAAGCUGAAUUCCCUCUGGAGUCAGGUCCAGGAGCAGCCCUCAUGCCCAGACACCUGGCUGAAAUAGAAGCUGGCACCGAGACGCUUGUGACUGAGUUGGAACAACUGAGUUGUGACACGUGAGGGUGUCACAGGAGCAGUUCCCUCGUGGCAGCGGUGGCCAUGACCCAUGAGGGAGCUCAGGGAGCCUCCUGAAAUAUUUAUGCAGGAAGAUGAGAAAGGGUUCUGUUUAUUGAACGCAUCCUCCAGGGAAGAAGCCACAGGGAACGGGCUGCUUCCCGUGUCCGAGAGCCAAUGAGCAGAGAAGGAAUUUCUUUGGAUUUGAAGCCAGACAGAGCCUGUGUGCUUGGAAAAAGAAGGGGGUGUGGAUUUCUGGAGGGGACAGAAGGCCCUCUCAACCUCCUACCUCCGGUCCCAGGAAAGCCUUUCAGCACAUGCUUUCCUGGUGACUCCAAAUAAUAACAACUGAAAUCUCAGCCUA
Molecule: long non-coding RNA, 915 nt
Organism: Suricata suricatta (meerkat)
Lineage: Eukaryota; Metazoa; Chordata; Mammalia; Carnivora; Herpestidae
Exons: 4
Source: RefSeq, a predicted model, not a curated record